CACGUUUGGCAAACGUUUGCAGAUGACGCAGUGAUAAAUACAAUGCAGUUAGAGUGCAGCUGUUAAACACGUGUAGCAAACAGUUGCGCAGAUGGCAAUAGUGAAACACGGAUUUCCAACGUUUAUCAAUUUGAAAGUUUACACAGGUUUUUGAAGAAAUUUUGUUCUAGCCUAAACGUCUGUUAUCUGUGGGUAAACUCUUGAAGAAAACGACUUUGUUUUUUUUUAUUUUGUCGUUGGACGGCCAGUAGAGUAAAGUGGCAAGAAUUUUUCCAAAACACCUUGAAGAAGAAGAUGAAAAAUAUUUUGUUCAAUACCAUGUAAAUAAAUAUUUCAAGAAGAUAGAACAGACAGCUAUAAAACAGCAAAAAAAUCUAAAAGAAAUUAUAUAUGCUUCGAAGCGAUUUUCAUCGUUGGCGCCGUUUCCGUCGUCGUCAUCCUCAGCAAGUUGUUCCUUCUUAACAUCGAGUUCCACCAUUUGCGAUAGAUCGUCCUGUGUCAGCUCCUUUUGAUAGCCCAAGAACGAAUCACUCUUAUCCUGUUCCUGCUCAUGCUCCUUUCCACGAUCCUAGAGUGUAUCGAAACGACCGGCGAUGACAACAAACACUUUACACUUGGUGCACUUCCAUGCAAUUCGCCCUCGCUGAUCAACCGAUCCGAUGGGUACCGGUAGCAACUGUGCACGACAAACAGCUGACCCCGCUUGCCCGGAAUCAGUUUUGAGUCUAGUUAUGUAAGGAAUGCAAACUAGGCUCGAUGGAACCUUGCCAGUCCUGGAUAUCACACACAUUUGGAGCAACAUCAGAUGUUUUUCAAGCCGUUCUCAACUCCUAUACGGCAGUUUUCACGCCGCCACCCGCGUAACGGCUUGAUAGUUGAUAUUCGAGCUUGUAGAACCAUUUGGGCGUACCAUAUAUGAGCUCCGACGGAAAUUGAGGAUGAAAUAGAUCUCUUCUAUGAGACAGUCGUCCGACGGUG
This is a long non-coding RNA of Topomyia yanbarensis, 978 nucleotides long. RefSeq lists it as uncharacterized. The transcript is spliced from 3 exons. The record is from RefSeq and is a predicted model, not a curated record. Lineage: Eukaryota; Metazoa; Arthropoda; Insecta; Diptera; Culicidae.